This 497-nucleotide ribosomal RNA is filed under the name uncultured bacterium. Its description in RNAcentral is "partial 16S ribosomal RNA". It matches the Rfam family "Bacterial small subunit ribosomal RNA", at positions 28 to 507 of the family's 1533-position model. The record is from RNAcentral.
GAUGAACGCUGGCGGCGUGCCUAAUACAUGCAAGUCGAGCGAACAGAUAAGGAGCUUGCUCCUUUGACGUUAGCGGCGGACGGGUGAGUAACACGUGGGUAACCUACCUAUAAGACUGGGAUAACUUCGGGAAACCGGAGCUAAUACCGGAUAACAUUUGGAACCGCAUGGUUCUAAAGUGAAAGAUGGUUUUGCUAUCACUUAUAGAUGGACCCGCGCCGUAUUAGCUAGUUGGUAAGGUAACGGCUUACCAAGGCAACGAUACGUAGCCGACCUGAGAGGGUGAACGGCCACACUGGAACUGAGACACGGUCCAGACUCCUACGGGAGGCAGCAGUAGGGAAUCUUCCGCAAUGGGCGAAAGCCUGACGGAGCAACGCCGCGUGAGUGAUGAAGGGUUUCGGCUCGUAAAACUCUGUUAUUAGGGAAGAACAAAUGUGUAAGUAACUGUGCACGUCUUGACGGUACCUAAUCAGAAAGCCACGGCUAACUACGUG